ACGGAACAACCCGAAAAUCCGAAAAAGAGUAGGGG
Molecule: non-coding RNA, 35 nt
Organism: Bacteroidales bacterium 36-12
Lineage: Bacteria; Pseudomonadati; Bacteroidota; Bacteroidia; Bacteroidales
Source: Rfam